RNAcentral lists this ribosomal RNA (497 nucleotides) under uncultured bacterium. Its description in RNAcentral is "partial 16S ribosomal RNA". It matches the Rfam family "Bacterial small subunit ribosomal RNA", at positions 28 to 507 of the family's 1533-position model. The record is from RNAcentral.
GAUGAACGCUGGCGGCGUGCCUAAUACAUGCAAGUCGAGCGAACAGACGAGGAGCUUGCUCCUCUGACGUGUGCGGCGGACGGGUGAGUAACACGUGGAUAAUCUACCUAUAAGACUGGGAUAACCUCGGGAAACCGGAGCUAAUACGGGAGAAUAUAUUGAACCGCAUGGUGGAAUGGUGAAAGACGGUUUUGCUGUCACUUAUAGAGGGAUCCCAGCCGCAUUAGCUAGUUGGUAAGUUAACGGGUUACCAAGGCAAGGAGGCGUAGCCGACCUGAGGGGGUGAUCGGCCACACUGGAAGUGGACCACGCUCAUGGCUCCUACGGGAGGCAGCAGUAGGGAAUCUUCCGCAAUGGGCGAAAGCCUGACGGAGCAACGCCGCGUGAAUGAUGAAGGUCUUCGGAUCGUAAAGCUCUGUUAUUAGGGAAGAACAAAUGUGUAAGUAACUAUGCACGUCUUGACGGUACCUAAUCAGAAAGCCACGGCUAACUACGUG